This 426-nucleotide ribosomal RNA is filed under the name uncultured bacterium. RNAcentral's name for it is "bacterial SSU rRNA". It matches the Rfam family "Bacterial small subunit ribosomal RNA", at positions 354 to 796 of the family's 1533-position model. The record is from RNAcentral.
GCAGGGAAUAUUGUGCAAUGGGCGAAAGCCUGACACAGCGACGCCGCGUGGGGGAUGAAGGCCUUCGGGUUGUAAACCCCUUUUCCCAGGGAAGAAUAAUGACGGUACCUGGGGAAUAAGUCACGGCCAACUACGUGCCAGCAGCCGCGGUAAUACGUAGGUGGCAAGCGUUACCCGGAUUUAUUGGGCGUAAAGAGGGCGCAGGCGGCUCUACAAGUUGGGUGUGAAAUCUUUCGGCUUAACCGGGAGGGGUCAUCCAAUACUGUAGAGCUAGAGGGCAGCAGAGGGAGGUGGAAUUCCCGGUGUAGUGGUGAAAUGCGUAGAUAUCGGGAGGAACACCAGUGGCGAAGGCGGCCUCCUGGGCUGUGCCUGACGCUUAAGCCCGAAAGCGUGGGGAGCAAACAGGAUUAGAUACCCGGGUAGUCC